RNAcentral lists this ribosomal RNA (505 nucleotides) under uncultured bacterium. RNAcentral describes it as "bacterial SSU rRNA". It matches the Rfam family "Bacterial small subunit ribosomal RNA", at positions 28 to 520 of the family's 1533-position model. The record is from RNAcentral.
GAUGAACGCUAGCUACAGGCUUAACACAUGCAAGUCGAGGGGAAACGAUAUUGGAAGCUUGCUUCCGAUAGGCGUCGACCGGCGCACGGGUGAGUAACGCGUAUCCAACCUGCCCAUCACUUGGGGAUAACCUUGCGAAAGUAAGACUAAUACCCAAUGACGUCUCUAGAAGACAUCUGAAAGAGAUUAAAGAUUUAUCGGUGAUGGAUGGGGAUGCGUCUGAUUAGCUUGUUGGCGGGUAACGGCCCACCAAGGCGACGAUCAGUAGGGGUUCUGAGAGGAAGGUCCCCCCACAUUGGAACUGAGACACGGUCCAAAACUCCUACGGGAGGCAGCAGUGAGGAAUAUUGGUCAAUGGACGAGAGUCUGACCAGCCAAGUAGCGUGCAGGAAGACGGCCCUAUGGGUUGUAAACUGCUUUUAUAAGGGAAUAAAGUGAGUCUCGUGAGACUUUUUGCAUGUACCUUAUGAAUAAGGACGGCUAAUUCCGUGCCAGCAGCCGACGG